Molecule: ribosomal RNA, 670 nt
Filed under: Bacillus pumilus
Lineage: Bacteria; Bacillati; Bacillota; Bacilli; Caryophanales; Bacillaceae
Description: bacterial SSU rRNA
Rfam family: Bacterial small subunit ribosomal RNA
Source: RNAcentral
GGGCUCGCAGGCGGUUUCUUAAGUCUGAUGUGAAAGCCCCCGGCUCAACCGGGGAGGGUCAUUGGAAACUGGGAAACUUGAGUGCAGAAGAGGAGAGUGGAAUUCCACGUGUAGCGGUGAAAUGCGUAGAGAUGUGGAGGAACACCAGUGGCGAAGGCGACUCUCUGGUCUGUAACUGACGCUGAGGAGCGAAAGCGUGGGGAGCGAACAGGAUUAGAUACCCUGGUAGUCCACGCCGUAAACGAUGAGUGCUAAGUGUUAGGGGGUUUCCGCCCCUUAGUGCUGCAGCUAACGCAUUAAGCACUCCGCCUGGGGAGUACGGUCGCAAGACUGAAACUCAAAGGAAUUGACGGGGGCCCGCACAAGCGGUGGAGCAUGUGGUUUAAUUCGAAGCAACGCGAAGAACCUUACCAGGUCUUGACAUCCUCUGACAACCCUAGAGAUAGGGCUUUCCCUUCGGGGACAGAGUGACAGGUGGUGCAUGGUUGUCGUCAGCUCGUGUCGUGAGAUGUUGGGUUAAGUCCCGCAACGAGCGCAACCCUUGAUCUUAGUUGCCAGCAUUCAGUUGGGCACUCUAAGGUGACUGCCGGUGACAAACCGGAGGAAGGUGGGGAUGACGUCAAAUCAUCAUGGCCCUUAUGACCUGGGCUACACACGUGCUACAAUGGAC